GACGAACGCUGGCGGCGUGCUUAACACAUGCAAGUCGAGCGGUAAGGCCCUUUCGGGGGUACACGAGCGGCGAACGGGUGAGUAACACGUGGGUGACCUGCCCUUAGCUCUGGGAUAAGCCUGGGAAACUGGGUCUAAUACCGGAUAUGACUCCAUGACGCAUGUUGUGGGGUGGAAAGCCUUGUGCGGCUAGGGAUGGGCCCGCGGCCUAUCAGCUUGUUGGUGGGGUGAUGGCCUACCAAGGCGACGACGGGUAGCCGGCCUGAGAGGGCGACCGGCCACACUGGGACUGAGACACGGCCCAGACUCCUACGGGAGGCAGCAGUGGGGAAUCUUGCGCAAUGGGCGAAAGACCUGACGCAGCGACGCCGCGUGAGGGAUGACGGCCU
RNAcentral lists this ribosomal RNA (389 nucleotides) under uncultured bacterium. RNAcentral describes it as "bacterial SSU rRNA". It matches the Rfam family "Bacterial small subunit ribosomal RNA", at positions 28 to 417 of the family's 1533-position model. The record is from RNAcentral.